CGGGCUCCCGUCGCACAGCUGCAGGAGACCUGAGCGCCUGCGGGGCCCGGAGACCUCCAGGUUACUACAUUUCCCAGAGGGCUCGAGGGCAGCCUUCGAUUCUGAGCACAGGUCCGCUGCUCGCUUCCCCAGUCUCAGAGUGCGAACUGUUUUAAUCCAGGUUUCGCCUUUCCUCUCCUGCCUCUCAAAUCCCUGCAGAUCUCCUGGAAAUCCAGCACCAACCCCAUCUAGUCAGAAGGAGGAAGACGGCGCCGCAGAGCCCUCUGGGAAAUGUAGUUUCAGGACUGACUUCUGGGAAACGGAAUCAGAGGGAGGCGGUGAGCUUUCGCAGCCAAUUACAAGCGAGCUGGGGCGAGUCACGUGACGCGCCUUUGCUCGGAACGCUGAAAGGUGGAGUCUCGGGUUCUGGGCAGUAUCGCCUGCCACCUCCAGCCGUCGUCUUCUGUACUGGCGUCCCCAGUGCCUGCGCCAUUCUUGUCGAACACUGCACUGGCAGCAUACUUACCUACACUUGAGUUUAUCCCAGCUCUUCAAUGCAGGCUCUGUAGCACCUCGCCCUGCUCUUCUACCCAUGAAGUCUGAAACAAUCAGACUGAACCACUGAGCUGCUUUGUAAAAUUUAGUGAAUAAGCCAUUAAUCAGUAGUCUGAUCGCCUCAUCUUUGGGCACUUUUUCACGAUCUGUUCUCACUCCCCCACCUUGUCCUCACCCAUGUCUGUGUCACUUCAGAAACUAAAGUCCUAAGACCUCUCUACAUGCCCUUUAUUGGUCCCUAGUUUCAUUUCUUCCCCCAACCAACCUAGAUUCCAAGGAUCCUCACCUGUCUCCUUUUCCUUGUGUCAUUCAAACAUUAAAACAGCUGCCUGCUUUAUGUUAGCUAGGGGCUUCUGGAAGGAGAGAAACAGCGUUGUCUAAUUCUAACAGGUUGGUAGUUAGUGGAAAAAAAACUAAAUAAACCCCUCUGGCCUCAUUGACUAAAAUAUCACUAAUUUUGAAGGUCGCAGAAGCUGACCAGUACAUUAUUAGUCUCCCAAUAACUUUGCAGUAGAUAACACCUGAAUAUGGACUACUAUUAUAACAGUUGCCUAGGUUACUUUUCAGAGACUUGAAGGCUGCUUUUGCUGAAAACAGACUCUACGGAUGUCCGAUGGGUGACAUAAUGCAAUGAAAAGGUUUGACAUCUCUGCCUUUACUUUUUUACUGCCUUACUUUGAUUCAGAUUUCUACUAAACUCUUGAGUGUAGACAUAUGGAUUAUUUGAGAAAUGUUCUGUCCAAAAGUAUAUAGCUGGGUCAGUGUGACCUAGACUUUCCUAGCCUCUCUCCUCUCCCUUCAAGGUUAAAGAUACACCAGCCAACUGCCAUGACAGGAGACACCAGACCAU
RNAcentral lists this long non-coding RNA (1384 nucleotides) under Marmota monax (woodchuck). The record is from RNAcentral. Lineage: Eukaryota; Metazoa; Chordata; Mammalia; Rodentia; Sciuridae.